CAGCAGCAUCCGCCGCAACUGCGGCAUCGACAAUUUCUUUGUAAAAAGCUAUUACAUGUACCAUUAAGGCUUAGUUUUUCAUAGUUAACCUACCCAUUGAUUUCCUUUUGGCAUUUUGAUGCUAACCAACAUGAUGGAAGCCCAUAUAUUUUAUACAAAACGGUUUCCAUUUUAAAGCUGCAGAGUUUUGUUUUUACUUUUAGUCUACAACGCCAAGUGCGUUGGGCAUAUACAUACCAUAGAAAACGGACAACAACAACAACAACAAGAACAACAUUUAGAGCGGCUUGAAGAAAACAAUUCGCUAAUAUUUUGUCUUAAGGUUUUCUUCCCAAUAAUAUUUGUUGUACAUCUUUUUUACUUCCUACAGCUGGUAUUAAGGAGUGACUAGAGUACGGAUGAAGUAAAGAGUGUGUAAGAAGGAGAGAGAGAGAGAGAGAGUGAGACAGAGAAGGAGAGUGAAUAAUAUCAA
RNAcentral lists this small RNA (472 nucleotides) under Drosophila mojavensis. RNAcentral describes it as "GI25716". Lineage: Eukaryota; Metazoa; Arthropoda; Insecta; Diptera; Drosophilidae. The record is from RNAcentral.